This 919-nucleotide ribosomal RNA is filed under the name uncultured bacterium. RNAcentral's name for it is "bacterial SSU rRNA". It matches the Rfam family "Bacterial small subunit ribosomal RNA", at positions 1 to 916 of the family's 1533-position model. The record is from RNAcentral.
UAGAGUUUGAUCCUGGCUCAGGAUGAACGCUACCUUCAGGCUUAACACAUGCAAGUCGAGGGGAAACGAUAGAGAAAGCUUGCUUUUUCUAGGCGUCGACCGGCGCACGGGUGAGUAACGCGUAUCCAACCUGCCCACCACUUGGGAAUAACCUUGCGAAAGUAAGACUAAUACCCAAUGAUAUCUCUAGAAGACAUCUGAAAGAGAUUAAAGAUUUAUCGGUGAUGGAUGGGGAUGCGUCUGAUUAGCUUGUUGGCGGGGUAACGGCCCACCAAGGCGACGAUCAGUAGGGGUUCUGAGAGGAAGGUCCCCCACAUUGGAACUGAGACACGGUCCAAACUCCUACGGGAGGCAGCAGUGAGGAAUAUUGGUCAAUGGGCGAGAGCCUGAACCAGCCAAGUAGCGUGCAGGAUGACGGCCCUAUGGGUUGUAAACUGCUUUUAUAAGGGAAUAAAGUGAGCCUCGUGAGACUUUUUGCAUGUACCUUAUGAAUAAGGACCGGCUAAUUCCGUGCCAGCAGCCGCGGUAAUACGGAAGGUCCGGGCGUUAUCCGGAUUUAUUGGGUUUAAAGGGAGCGUAGGCCGGAGAUUAAGCGUGUUGUGAAAUGUAGACGCUCAACGUCUGCACUGCAGCGCGAACUGGUUUCCUUGAGUACGCACAAAGUGGGCGGAAUUCGCGGUGUAGCGGUGAAAUGCUUAGAUAUCACGAAGAACUCCGAUUGCGAAGGCAGCUCACUGGAGCGCAACUGACGCUGAAGCUCGAAAGUGCGGGUAUCGAACAGGAUUAGAUACCCUGGUAGUCCGCACGGUAAACGAUGGAUGCCCGCUGUUGGUCUGAAUAGGUCAGCGGCCAAGCGAAAGCAUUAAGCAUCCCACCUGGGGAGUACGCCGGCAACGGUGAAACUCAAAGGAAUUGACGG